CCACCGGCCCUUUUCAGGGCCACCCACAUCUAACAAAAGGAUCUU
Molecule: non-coding RNA, 45 nt
Organism: Branchiostoma floridae (Florida lancelet)
Lineage: Eukaryota; Metazoa; Chordata; Leptocardii; Amphioxiformes; Branchiostomatidae
Source: Rfam